This 803-nucleotide ribosomal RNA is filed under the name uncultured rumen protozoa. RNAcentral's name for it is "bacterial SSU rRNA". It matches the Rfam family "Eukaryotic small subunit ribosomal RNA", at positions 353 to 1471 of the family's 1831-position model. The record is from RNAcentral.
CUCCUGGUUUCCGGGACGGAUAGGGUCGAUUCUGGAGAAGGAGCCUGAGAACGGCUACUACAUCUACGGAAGGCAGCAGGCGCGUAAAUUACCCAAUCUUGACUCAGGGAGGUGGUGACAAGAUAUAAUGACGCUAUGAAAAAUAGUGAUUAUAGUGAGGGUAUUCCAAACCGAACCACAAGUACGAUUAGAGGGCAAGUCUGGUGCCAGCAGCUGCGGUAAUUCCAGCUCUAAUAGCGUAUAUUAAAGUUGCUGCAGUUAAAAAGCUCGUAGCUGGAUUUCAAGGAACACGUAUUCCCCCUUCAUUUUGUGCCCUACUAGCCCUUUCGGCUGUUACUGUGAGAAAAUUAGAGUGUUUAAAGCAAGCUUUUGCAAGAAUACAUUAGCAUGGAAUAACGAAUGAGUCUAGAAUCUAGUAAUCUGAUCCGACAGAGAGACAGAGGGGGCAUAGUAUUCACUGUCAGAGGUGAAUCUGGAUUUGUUAUAUUACCUAUCGUAUGCGAAGCAUUGCCAAGGAUGUUUCAUCAUCCACCACGAACACUAGGGAUCAAAGACAAUCAGAUACUGUCGUAGUCUAUCUAUAACUAUGCGACUAGGAUGAGUGGGCUCAACACAUUUCAGUACCUUAUGAGAAUCAAGUCUGGGUCUGGGGGGAGCUCUGUCGCAAGACUGAACUAGAAUGACGAGGACCACAGGAUGGAGCUGCGCUAUGACUCAACGGAACUACAGUCGACAUAAAGACUGCAUGAGCUUUCUGAUCUAGGGUGGGGCAUGCGUCUAUUGGGGAGGAUUGCUGUAAUCCG